This 138-nucleotide small nucleolar RNA is filed under the name Castor canadensis (American beaver). RNAcentral's name for it is "Small nucleolar RNA SNORA3/SNORA45 family (ENSCCNG00000000920.1)". Lineage: Eukaryota; Metazoa; Chordata; Mammalia; Rodentia; Castoridae. The record is from RNAcentral.
AUUGAGGGUAGAGUCAGAUUUGAAUACUGGCUGUUAACUUAGUGUGCUAAAGUCUUAGAAGAAAAACGCUGACCUUAUUCACUGGCUAUGGGCCUCAUGGUAGAGUUAUCUAGUUAGUGGCAUAUUUCAGAUAAAUAA